Molecule: transfer RNA, 70 nt
Filed under: Podarcis lilfordi (Lilford's wall lizard)
Lineage: Eukaryota; Metazoa; Chordata; Lepidosauria; Squamata; Lacertidae
Description: tRNA.Ile
Rfam family: tRNA (bases 4-62)
About the family: Transfer RNA (tRNA) molecules are approximately 80 nucleotides in length. Their secondary structure includes four short double-helical elements and three loops (D, anti-codon, and T loops). Further hydrogen bonds mediate the characteristic L-shaped molecular structure. tRNAs have two regions of fundamental functional importance: the anti-codon, which is responsible for specific mRNA codon recognition, and the 3' end, to which the tRNAs corresponding amino acid is attached (by aminoacyl-tRNA synthetases). tRNAs cope with the degeneracy of the genetic code in two manners: having more than one tRNA (with a specific anti-codon) for a particular amino acid; and 'wobble' base-pairing, i.e. permitting non-standard base-pairing at the 3rd anti-codon position.
Source: RNAcentral
GGAUAGCUCAGUUGGUUAGAGCGUGGUGCUGAUGACGCCGAGGUUACAGGUUCGAUUCCCGUACGAGACA